RNAcentral lists this ribosomal RNA (253 nucleotides) under uncultured bacterium. RNAcentral describes it as "partial 16S ribosomal RNA". It matches the Rfam family "Bacterial small subunit ribosomal RNA", at positions 524 to 776 of the family's 1533-position model. The record is from RNAcentral.
UACAGAGGUCUCAAGCGUUGUUCGGAUUCAUUGGGCGUAAAGGGUGCGUAGGCGGUGUCGUAAGUCGGAUGUGAAAUCCCGGGGCUUAACUUCGGAACUGCAUUCGAUACUGCGAUACUCGAGGACUCGAGAGGAGAUUGGAAUUCACGGUGUAGCAGUGAAAUGCGUAGAUAUGUGGAGGAAUACCGAUGGCGAAGGCAGCCCCCUGGGAUAACACUGACGCUCAUGCACGAAAGCGUGGGGAGCAAACAGG